GUGAGGAAUAUUGGUCAAUGGGCGGGAGCCUGAACCAGCCAAGUCGCGUGAAGGAAGAAGGAUCUAUGGUUCGUAAACUUCUUUUGCAGGGGAAUAAAGUGCAGGACGUGUCCUGUUUUGUAUGUACCCUGAGAAUAAGGAUCGGCUAACUCCGUGCCAGCAGCCGCGGUAAUACGGAGGAUCCGAGCGUUAUCCGGAUUUAUUGGGUUUAAAGGGUGCGUAGGUGGUUUGAUAAGUCAGCGGUGAAAGUUUGCAGCUUAACUGUAAAAAUGCCGUUGAAACUGUCGGACUUGAGUGUAAAUGAGGUAGGCGGAAUGCGUGGUGUAGCGGUGAAAUGCAUAGAUAUCACGCAGAACUCCGAUUGCGAAGGCAGCUUACUAAGCUACAACUGACACUGAAGCACGAAAGCGUGGGGAUCAAACAGGAUUAGAUACCCGGUAGUCC
RNAcentral lists this ribosomal RNA (444 nucleotides) under uncultured bacterium. Its description in RNAcentral is "partial 16S ribosomal RNA". It matches the Rfam family "Bacterial small subunit ribosomal RNA", at positions 354 to 796 of the family's 1533-position model. The record is from RNAcentral.